ACAGAAAUAUCGACCACCAGGAAGGAAGAAGAGCCCAACUGCGAUUAACAAGGCCAGAGCUGCACGGGGGGUUACGGAUGCAGCUGAUAAGUUUGCAAGUAUGACGAUUGGUUCCCACAGGCAGAUUGGGGCACAACCUAAGCCACCACCUAUGAAAGCUGGAGUGCAGUGGACUGGUGAAUCUGGUGACAUGUUUCUCAGACCAACCCAUCAAUUUCAACCUAGCAGAACUUAUACUAGGAAAGUUGUGGAAUGACGUCUUUGGAGAGGACUACUUCAGGGGGCUCUUAGUAUGUGGUGCAAUGUAGUACAAUAAUUAGAAUUUCAUGCUAUGUUUGUGUGGUGUGGUGUUGAUGUUAUUAAAAAAAAAAAAAA
Molecule: unclassified non-coding RNA, 375 nt
Filed under: Hevea brasiliensis (rubber tree)
Lineage: Eukaryota; Viridiplantae; Streptophyta; Magnoliopsida; Malpighiales; Euphorbiaceae
Source: RNAcentral